AAUAGACAUGCAAGUCGAGCGAACAGAAGGGAGCUUGCUCCCGGAUGUUAGCGGCGGACGGGUGAGUAACACGUGGGUAACCUGCCUGUAAGACUGGGAUAACUCCGGGAAACCGGAGCUAAUACCGGAUAGUUCCUUGAACCGCAUGGUUCAAGGAUGAAAGACGGUUUCGGCUGUCACUUACAGAUGGACCCGCGGCGCAUUAGCUAGUUGGUGGGGUAAUGGCUCACCAAGGCGACGAUGCGUAGCCGACCUGAGAGGGUGAUCGGCCACACUGGGACUGAGACACGGCCCAGACUCCUACGGGAGGCAGCAGUAGGGAAUCUUCCGCAAUGGACGAAAGUCUGACGGAGCAACGCCGCGUGAGUGAUGAAGGUUUUCGGAUCGUAAAGCUCUGUUGUUAGGGAAGAACAAGUGCGAGAGUAACUGCUCGCACCUUGACGGUACCUAACCAGAAAGCCACGGCUAACUACGUGCCAGCAGCCGCGGUAAUACGUAGGUGGCAAGCGUUGUCCGGAAUUAUUGGGCGUAAAGGGCUCGCAGGCGGUUUCUUAAGUCUGAUGUGAAAGCCCCCGGCUCAACCGGGGAGGGUCAUUGGAAACUGGGAAACUUGAGUGCAGAAGAGGAGAGUGGAAUUCCACGUGUAGCGGUGAAAUGCGUAGAGAUGUGGAGGAACACCAGUGGCGAAGGCGACUCUCUGGUCUGUAACUGACGCUGAGGAGCGAAAGCGUGGGGAGCGAACAGGAUUAGAUACCCUGGUAGUCCACGCCGUAAACGAUGAGUGCUAAGUGUUUAGGGGGUUUCCGCCCCUUAGUGCUGCAGCUAACGCAUUAAGCACUCCGCCUGGGGAGUACGGUCGCAAGACUGAAACUCAAAGGAAUUGACGGGGGCCCGCACAAGCGGUGGAACAUGUGGUUUAAUUCGAAGCAACGCGAAGAACCUUACCAGGUCUUGACAUCCUCUGACACCCUAGA
RNAcentral lists this ribosomal RNA (974 nucleotides) under Bacillus sp. (in: firmicutes). RNAcentral's name for it is "bacterial SSU rRNA". It matches the Rfam family "Bacterial small subunit ribosomal RNA", at positions 48 to 1004 of the family's 1533-position model. Lineage: Bacteria; Bacillati; Bacillota; Bacilli; Caryophanales; Bacillaceae. The record is from RNAcentral.